This is an RNA transcript of Nycticebus coucang (slow loris), 807 nucleotides long. It is a transcript of the gene named synaptophysin-like protein 1, with no coding region annotated. The record is from RefSeq and is a predicted model, not a curated record. NCBI's taxonomy places the organism in Eukaryota, Metazoa, Chordata, Mammalia, Primates, Lorisidae. The transcript has a single exon.
UGCGUGGGACUCGUCGGUCCUCUCCUCCUCGCCCCGCUGUCCUGACUCUUCUUUCCUUCCUCCCCUCAGAGGAUGUCCGGCUUCCAGAUCAACAUCAACCCGCUCAAGGAGCUGCUCGGCUUCAUCAAGGUCCUCGAGUGGAUUGCUUCCAUCUUUACUUUUGCUACCUGUGGAGGUUUUAAGGGCAAAACAGAAAUUCUAGUGCAUUGUCCUCCUGCAGCUGACAAUAAAACUAUUACAGCUACUUUUGGUUAUCUAUUCAGGUUGAAUCAAGCAUCAUUUGAGACACCUCAACAUGUAAAUGUGUGUAAUGUCGAUUGGAAAAUGAAUUACCUCAUAGGAGAUUACUCCUCUUCUGCACAAUUCUAUGUUACGUUUGCAGUCUUUGUGUUCCUGUACUGUAUUGCAGCCCUUCUGCUUUAUGUUGGUUACACAAACCUAUAUCAGAAGAGUCAUAAACUUCCCAUGAUUGACUUUGUUGUUACUCUUGUUGUCACAUUUUUGUGGUUGGUGAGCACUUCAGCCUGGGCUAAAGCUCUUACAGAUAUUAAAGUAGCUACUGGUCCCAGUAUUGUUCAGCAACUUGAGCCUUGUGAGAAGAAGAUGACUUGUUAUUUUGGUGCUGUGACCAUAUGGGAUCCCUGAAUGUAUCUGUGAUCUUUGGCUUUGUGAAUAUGAUACUUUGGGGAGGAAAUGCUUGGUUUGUGUACAAGGAGACCAUCUUACACAGUCCAUCAAAUACUUCUGCCCCCCCAUAACCAAGGAGGUAUUCCACCUCCUGCUGAAAUGUAAUUACAGGGAAAAAUA